This 468-nucleotide ribosomal RNA is filed under the name uncultured bacterium. RNAcentral's name for it is "partial 16S ribosomal RNA". It matches the Rfam family "Bacterial small subunit ribosomal RNA", at positions 28 to 507 of the family's 1533-position model. The record is from RNAcentral.
GACGAACGCUGGCGGCGUGCUUAACACAUGCAAGUCGAACGGAAAGGCCCUGCUUUUGUGGGGUGCUCGAGUGGCGAACGGGUGAGUAACACGUGAGUAACCUGCCCUUGACUUUGGGAUAACUUCAGGAAACUGGGGCUAAUACCGGAUAGGAGCUCCUGCAGCAUGGUGGGGGUUGGAAAGUUUCGGCGGUUGGGGAUGGACUCGCGGCUUAUCAGCUUGUUGGUGGGGUAGUGGCUUACCAAGGCUUUGACGGGUAGCCGGCCUGAGAGGGUGACCGGCCACAUUGGGACUGAGGUACGGCCCAGACUCCUACGGGAGGCAGCAGUGGGGAAUAUUGCACAAUGGGCGGAAGCCUGAUGCAGCAACGCCGCGUGCGGGAUGACGGCCUUCGGGUUGUAAACCGCUUUCGCCUGUGACGAAGCGUGAGUGACGGUAAUGGGUAAAGAAGCACCGGCUAACUACGUG